RNAcentral lists this ribosomal RNA (465 nucleotides) under Vreelandella stevensii. RNAcentral's name for it is "partial 16S ribosomal RNA". It matches the Rfam family "Bacterial small subunit ribosomal RNA", at positions 338 to 795 of the family's 1533-position model. The record is from RNAcentral. Lineage: Bacteria; Pseudomonadati; Pseudomonadota; Gammaproteobacteria; Oceanospirillales; Halomonadaceae.
CCUACGGGUGGCAGCAGUGGGGAAUAUUGGACAAUGGGGGCAACCCUGAUCCAGCCAUGCCGCGUGUGUGAAGAAGGCCCUCGGGUUGUAAAGCACUUUCAGUGAGGAAGAACGCCUGGUGGUUAAUAUCCAUCAGGAAAGACAUCACUCACAGAAGAAGCACCGGCUAACUCCGUGCCAGCAGCCGCGGUAAUACGGAGGGUGCGAGCGUUAAUCGGAAUUACUGGGCGUAAAGCGCGCGUAGGUGGCUUGAUAAGCCGGUUGUGAAAGCCCCGGGCUCAACCUGGGAACGGCAUCCGGAACUGUCAAGCUAGAGUGCAGGAGAGGAAGGUAGAAUUCCCGGUGUAGCGGUGAAAUGCGUAGAGAUCGGGAGGAAUACCAGUGGCGAAGGCGGCCUUCUGGACUGACACUGACACUGAGGUGCGAAAGCGUGGGUAGCAAACAGGAUUAGAUACCCGGGUAGUC